GAGGAUGUAGACAUAGAUGUGCCAAGAUACCCAUGGAACAAAUAGAUUCAUACAAAUGGGUGUUCUAGACACACGUCAAAAAAUGAAACUUAAAACAUACUUAUGAAAAGUAAUUUUAAAUAAAAAAAAUUAAAUAAUAAUAAUAAUAAUGAAAUCAGUAAUCCUUGCAUCUCAUCAUUAUUUUUGCUUUAGUAUUUGAUUAAAAUAUGAAUUGCAAGUAUUGACCAAUUUUGUGAUAUAGAAAAUACUUUUGGAAAUAUAAUCACUUCAUUUUAUAGGUCACUUUACUCACCAUUGGAUAAGUUGCUAAAUGAUUAAUCAAUUUAUUAAGAAUAACUUUAUGAAUUCUCUAUAUGCUUGAUUGAGAGUUUUUAUCCA
Molecule: long non-coding RNA, 378 nt
Filed under: Phoenix dactylifera (date palm)
Lineage: Eukaryota; Viridiplantae; Streptophyta; Magnoliopsida; Arecales; Arecaceae
Description: long non-coding RNA (PDAC_LNC010748)
Source: RNAcentral